ACGGAGGGUCCGAGCGUUAUCCGGAUUUAUUGGGUUUAAAGGGUGCGUAGGCGGUUUUAUAAGUCAGCGGUGAAAUUUUCCGGCUCAACCGGGAUACUGCCGUUGAUACUGUAAGGCUAGGGUAUGGUUGCUGUGGGAGGUAUGUGUGGUGUAGGGGUGAAAUCCUGAUAUACUUGGUGGAAUAUCUGUUGCGAAGGCGUCUCACAAGGACGGUUUCGACGGUGAGGAACGAAAGUGGGGGGAGCAAACAG
This 251-nucleotide ribosomal RNA is filed under the name uncultured prokaryote. RNAcentral describes it as "partial 16S rRNA". It matches the Rfam family "Bacterial small subunit ribosomal RNA", at positions 525 to 775 of the family's 1533-position model. The record is from RNAcentral.